UCUGGAUACGAAAUUAGUUUCCUACUAAAACUUAUCAUUAGAAUAUCAAAUUAUCUUCAGAUUAAAUUUCUCUUAAUUUUCAUUAAUGAAAAGUGCUCAUUCUGCCGAAAACUCAUUAUUAUCUUCGACACUUCACUAACUAGUAAAACGUAGUUCAAUGGCGUGCAGUUUAUUUCGUUCCCACCGUGAAGUGUAUUCGAGAAUCAGGUCCUUUAUCUCAAAAAGUGGAAGAAAACGAUAACAUGAACACAGCAAGCACUUUGUCAAAAAUGCGAGUUUUCCGAUUGUGGUUUUAUGGUUUUUCCCGCUUAUUAAACAAACCUUUCGUGUAUUGUGCAGUAAAGUUCUAUUCGCCUACAGAAGAGGAACAAUUCGAUGCAGCGAAACUGUUUCACGCUUUUCUUUGGUCCAAGUGAUUCCAGAUGCCGCUGAAUUACAAGAAGAGGAUGGGCAGACAACGUUGGAGGAAGGAGGAACUCGAAAUAGGAACGCAGGCCAUCAAGAACGGAUUUUCUUUGACCAAGCAUCGCAAGUGUUUGAAAAGGCUCAAACAACAGUGAAAAGAUCCAUGCAGAAUUCGAGAUGGUUUCAAUCCAACUUUUCUGGUCUGGAAUCUGGCCAAGACACUUGGUACCAAUCCAAGAAAAAUUGUUACUGAUUGUAGCAUUAUCCCAAAAUACUUUACAUAGCCAUAAGUAUGUUUUUUCGAUGAAACACACACUGGACCAAAUCACCCCACAGACAGUCCACAUCACUCCGCAUCAAAUUUUAAUGUCCAAAAAUCAAUCAUCUCUUUUAUUUUAUGAUAUAUGUGGUAAUUUGAAGCUCGAUAUAAUGAUUAAAUAUUAUUGAUUGAGAGAAAACAAGUGUAGCUCAGUAUACAAUGUGACAUUUUUUAUUUAGACCGUAUUGGUUUGCAAAUAUUAGGCGAUUUGCUUAGGGGGUCCAAAUUCCCCCCACUUUCCCUAAUAAAUCAUUCGCUGAUUAUAAUAAUAUCGAUAAAAACAGAAAGUCUAUAGUUUACUACGUAAUACUCGUACAAUGUUGUUACACAAGCAAUCAAAUGAUCAAGAUGUUUUCCUUAUCUUAUAAAUAUUUAUGUACGUUUGGCAUAAACAAAAUAAACCACAUGUUUGUUUAAGCAAUAAAAAGGCACUCUGAUUUGGGAUGUUUAGUUUACACGAACGGUACAUCAGGUAUCACUGAGAGCACUGAACAACUUAAUGCAAUAUUGGCUGUCACAAGAGCGAUCUUUUCAAUAUAUCACUUUGCUGGGUUAUAUACACCGGAAAUUGUAUUAGGACUGUUUCCUUGUUCUUGCAUUAUUAUUCACAGGAAAAUCUCAGCUACAUACUUGUACAAUCGGCCGUAUCUAUUUACACUCAUAUGGAACCAGUAAAAAUUGUACAUGGAACAAUAACAUCAGUAGAUUACAAAAUCUGCGAACUACGAAUAUCCUGCCGAACCGUCCAGUAAUUACAGCACAUAAAUUACCACUCAAACAAUUUGCUUUGAUUGGUGGUUGUUCACGCAAAUUCCUUCCUUGUUCACCACCCGCACCAUUCAGAAAUCUGAAACAGACUAAAUUCAUCAUUCCUGUCUGGAACUGUUAGAUCCUUUCAACUUUCACUUCUAUAAUAUAUACAAGAACGAAAGAUUUCCUCGUGCAGAAGAAAAUGGGAGAUAAACGAAAUGGAGAGCGGAAGCAACUUUCAUGAUAUCAUACGACUCUCAAUUUUCUCAAACCCAACCUUAUGGUAGGUUUUUCAGAGUAGUGUGAAAAAUGCAACAGGUGAUGAAGCACUAUCAUUCGCCUUAUCUUUAGUACAUGCAUUUUACACAGUACAAUUUAGGGGCUGUCUACAUACCACGUGGACAGAAAAAGCAUGAUUUUAGACACCCCCCUCCCCCUCCGUGGACAAGCGUGGACA
Long non-coding RNA from Toxorhynchites rutilus septentrionalis, 1931 nucleotides. RefSeq lists it as uncharacterized. The transcript is spliced from 3 exons. The record is from RefSeq and is a predicted model, not a curated record. Lineage: Eukaryota; Metazoa; Arthropoda; Insecta; Diptera; Culicidae.